AGCUUUGCCAGAGUGGUUGGGCAAUCUUUCCUCUCUUCAAUCCCUUGAAAUUUGGAAUUGUAAGAAUCUGAAGUAUCUACCUAGAGCUACAGACAUGCAACGGCUCUCCAAAUUAAGGAAUCUCCGCAUUGCAUAUUGUUCCUUCCUUGGGGCAAAUUGCGCCAAGGGGAGGGGCUCUGAGUGGCCCAAGAUUUCUCAUAUCCCAGACG
RNAcentral lists this unclassified non-coding RNA (209 nucleotides) under Hevea brasiliensis (rubber tree). The record is from RNAcentral. Lineage: Eukaryota; Viridiplantae; Streptophyta; Magnoliopsida; Malpighiales; Euphorbiaceae.